This 94-nucleotide non-coding RNA is filed under the name Caballeronia calidae. Its description in RNAcentral is "Burkholderia calidae Glycine sequence". It matches the Rfam family "Glycine riboswitch aptamer". Rfam says of the family: This family represents the bacterial glycine riboswitch. Glycine riboswitches usually consist of two metabolite-binding aptamers domains with similar structures in tandem. Lineage: Bacteria; Pseudomonadati; Pseudomonadota; Betaproteobacteria; Burkholderiales; Burkholderiaceae. The record is from RNAcentral.
GAAUGCAGCGCGGGAGAGACUGUCAUCGAACGAUGACGGCGCCGACGGAGCAACCGCCCCGGAAACUCUCAGGCCCAAGGACCGCGCCGCAGGA